Molecule: long non-coding RNA, 947 nt
Filed under: Mytilus galloprovincialis (Mediterranean mussel)
Lineage: Eukaryota; Metazoa; Mollusca; Bivalvia; Mytilida; Mytilidae
Source: RNAcentral
GGGGUCCGUUUUGGUGACUUUUGUGUUAGCAUCCUAACACAGGAUUACUUAUUAUUAUUAUUCUUAUUCUUCUCUUUCUGACCCCUUAAACUGUCCUACCAUUUUUUGGGAAAGCAGUAGAGGAUGGAAACUUUAUAUUUUUUCUGGGUAUGGGUCUGCAUCAUGGGGGUUGCAGAACCCAAUGUCCGUGAUACCAGGGUGUCAUCUUGGCAUAAUUAGGGGGGCUCAAAGAUGGGUGGGGUCAAUUUUUUUUUACAUUUCUUAAAUUUUCUACUGUAUGUAGAGUAGAUGGAAUACUGAUUACUUCUAUGAAUAUUAAGAGACACAUGUCUGCUUCAACAUGGAACUUUUUUUAUUUCAGUAGGGGGUCUCCUGGCAUAAUUUUAGGGGGUGAAUUUUCAUGGAACAUUCCAGAACAUCAAAGUUAAAUUUAUUCUAGACUCAUUUAAUGGUAUAUGAUGGUAUAUAAUUAUGGAGAGAACAAUUUGCAGCAGCACUUUGUCUUUUGAAUAUUCAAAAUGGCCGCCGUUACCAUGGAAACAGCAAAAAUAUGAAAAACUUCAAAAUGCUCCAAAUUUAAUGAAACUUAUAACUAAUGUUGACUAACUUGUGCAGAAUUGACUUUUGAGUUUGGAAUUUUCAAAAUGGCCGACGUUACCAUGGAAACAGCAAAAAUAUUAAAAAAAAUCAAAAUGCUUCAAAUUUAAUGAAACUUAUAACAAAUGUUGCCUAACUUGUGUAGACUUUAAUUUUGAGUUUGAAAUUUUCAAAAUGGCCGCCGUUGCCAUGGAAACAGCAAAAAUGUAAAAAAAAAAAUAAUUCUUCAUAUUGAAUUAAACUUUACACACACAUUAUUUGGCAUCAAUGAUACCGCAGAACAAUGAUGUGGGGUCCGUUUUGGUGACUUUUGUGUUAGCAUCCUAACACAGGAUUACUUGUUUCUUUUU